This is a long non-coding RNA of Quercus robur (English oak), 356 nucleotides long. RefSeq lists it as uncharacterized. Lineage: Eukaryota; Viridiplantae; Streptophyta; Magnoliopsida; Fagales; Fagaceae. The transcript has 2 exons. The record is from RefSeq and is a predicted model, not a curated record.
GCUACUCAUUCUUAGAGAGAAAUCUUUGUAGUCUCUUCUCAUUCCCUCUCUCAUUGUCAGACCUAUUGAGAGGAGAUUUCUAUCCAAACACUGCCCACACCCAUUUAGAGUGUUGAGUGUUUUUGGAGUUUUGGGAAGCAUUGGAAGAUGCCAAGGAUGGCGGAUGCUAUGGUCAAGUAGCGGAAUCCGGUAAGCUAGAAAAGAAAAAGGUUCGGCGCAACCUCGUUGGAGCAAGAAGCUUGGAGGGCUUAGGUACAUCGGGUAGAUUAGGCCUGGAGGGUCUAUUGCUGUUCAUGUAUCCCAACUACAUUUUCUAGUGGAUUAUUGACCGCUCGGAGGGCGGCGGAGAGGUUUUA